UUAAUACCUGAUGGUAUGAUGAGAUUGCAUGAUAGCAUCAUUAAAGAUUUAUCGGUGUACGAUGGGGAUGCGUUCCAUUAGGUAGUAGGCGGGGUAACGGCCCACCUAGCCAACGAUGGAUAGGGGUUCUGAGAGGAAGGUCCCCCACAUUGGAACUGAGACACGGUCCAAACUCCUACGGGAGGCAGCAGUGAGGAAUAUUGGUCAAUGGACGAGAGUCUGAACCAGCCAAGUAGCGUGAAGGAUGAAGGUCCUACGGAUUGUAAACUUCUUUUAUAAGGGAAUAAACCCUCCCACGUGUGGGAGCUUGUAUGUACCUUAUGAAUAAGCAUCGGCUAACUCCGUGCCAGCAGCCGCGGUAAUACGGAGGAUGCGAGCGUUAUCCGGAUUUAUUGGGUUUAAAGGGAGCGCAGACGGGUCGUUAAGUCAGCUGUGAAAGUUUGGGGCUCAACCUUAAAAUUGCAGUUGAUACUGGCGUCCUUGAGUGCGGUUGAGGUGUGCGGAAUUCGUGGUGUAGCGGUGAAAUGCUUAGAUAUCACGAAGAACUCCGAUUGCGAAGGCAGCACACUAAUCCGUAACUGACGUUCAUGCUCGAAAGUGUGGGUAUCAAACAGGAUUAGAUAC
This 624-nucleotide ribosomal RNA is filed under the name uncultured bacterium. RNAcentral's name for it is "bacterial SSU rRNA". It matches the Rfam family "Bacterial small subunit ribosomal RNA", at positions 163 to 785 of the family's 1533-position model. The record is from RNAcentral.